RNAcentral lists this small RNA (100 nucleotides) under Flavobacterium succinicans. Its description in RNAcentral is "Flavo-1 RNA". It matches the Rfam family "Flavo-1 RNA". The record is from RNAcentral. Lineage: Bacteria; Pseudomonadati; Bacteroidota; Flavobacteriia; Flavobacteriales; Flavobacteriaceae.
UGCUAGCCCCGAUGGGAGGGAAUAUCCUUUUUUUUAUACCUGUCAGGUUUUAAAACCUGACAGGUAUAAAAAAAAGAUAGGAAGGACAGCGGGAAUCCCU